GAAGUGCGAAUGCUGACAUAAGUAACGAUAAAGCGGGUGAAAAGCCCGCUCGCCGGAAGACCAAGGGUUCCUGUCCAACGUUAAUCGGGGCAGGGUGAGUCGACCCCUAAGGCGAGGCCGAAAGGCGUAGUCGAUGGGAAACAGGUUAAUAUUCCUGUACUUGGUGUUACUGCGAAGGGGGGACGGAGAAGGCUAUGUUGGCCGGGCGACGGUUGUCCCGGUUUAAGCGUGUAGGCUGGUUUUCCAGGCAAAUCCGGAAAAUCAAGGCUGAGGCGUGAUGACGAGGCACUACGGUGCUGAAGCGACAAAUGCCCUGCUUCCAGGAAAAGCCUCUAAGCAUCAGGUAACAUCAAAUCGUACCCCAAACCGACACAGGUGGUCAGGUAGAGAAUACCAAGGCGCUUGAGAGAACUCGGGUGAAGGAACUAGGCAAAAUGGUGCCGUAACUUCGGGAGAAGGCACGCUGAUAUGUAGGUGAAGCGACUUGCUCGUGGAGCUGAAAUCAGUCGAAGAUACCAGCUGGCUGCAACUGUUUAUUAAAAACACAGCACUGUGCAAACACGAAAGUGGACGUAUACGGUGUGACGCCUGCCCGGUGCCGGAAGGUUAAUUGAUGGGGUUAGCGGUAACGCGAAGCUCUUGAUCGAAGCCCCGGUAAACGGCGGCCGUAACUAUAACGGUCCUAAGGUAGCGAAAUUCCUUGUCGGGUAAGUUCCGACCUGCACGAAUGGCGUAAUGAUGGCCAGGCUGUCUCCACCCGAGACUCAGUGAAAUUGAACUCGCUGUGAAGAUGCAGUGUACCCGCGGCAAGACGGAAAGACCCCGUGAACCUUUACUAUAGCUUGACACUGAACAUUGAGCCUUGAUGUGUAGGAUAGGUGGGAGGCUUUGAAGUGUGGACGCCAGUCUGCAUGGAGCCGACCUUGAAAUACCACCCUUUAAUGUUUGAUGUUCUAACGUGGGCCCCUUACCGGGGUUGCGGACAGUGUCUGGUGGGUAGUUUGACUGGGGCGGUCUCCUCCUAAAGAGUAACGGAGGAGCACGAAGGUUGGCUAAUCCUGGUCGGACAUCAGGAGGUUAGUGCAAUGGCAUAAGCCAGCUUGACUGCGAGCGUGACGGCGCGAGCAGGUGCGAAAGCAGGUCAUAGUGAUCCGGUGGUUCUGAAUGGAAGGGCCAUCGCUCAACGGAUAAAAGGUACUCCGGGGAUAACAGGCUGAUACCGCCCAAGAGUUCAUAUCGACGGCGGUGUUUGGCACCUCGAUGUCGGCUCAUCACAUCCUGGGGCUGAAGUAGGUCCCAAGGGUAUGGCUGUUCGCCAUUUAAAGUGGUACGCGAGCUGGGUUUAGAACGUCGUGAGACAGUUCGGUCCCUAUCUGCCGUGGGCGCUGGAGAACUGAGGGGGGCUGCUCCUAGUACGAGAGGACCGGAGUGGACGCAUCACUGGUGUUCGGGUUGUCAUGCCAAUGGCACUGCCCGGUAGCUAAAUGCGGAAGAGAUAAGUGCUGAAAGCAUCUAAGCACGAAACUUGCCCCGAGAUGAGUUCUCUCUGACUCCUUGAGAGUCCUGAAGGAACGUUGAAGACGACGACGUUGAUAGGCCGGGUGUGUAAGCGCAGCGAUGCGUUGAGCUAACCGGUACUAAUGAACCGUGAGGCUUAACCUU
This 1662-nucleotide ribosomal RNA is filed under the name Escherichia coli 2-316-03_S4_C3. RNAcentral's name for it is "bacterial LSU rRNA". It matches the Rfam family "Bacterial large subunit ribosomal RNA", at positions 1285 to 2925 of the family's 2925-position model. Lineage: Bacteria; Pseudomonadati; Pseudomonadota; Gammaproteobacteria; Enterobacterales; Enterobacteriaceae. The record is from RNAcentral.